Molecule: long non-coding RNA, 1587 nt
Organism: Wasmannia auropunctata (little fire ant)
Lineage: Eukaryota; Metazoa; Arthropoda; Insecta; Hymenoptera; Formicidae
Exons: 2
Source: RefSeq, a predicted model, not a curated record
AUCUUUGACUAAAAAAAAAGAAAGAGUUUAUUUGUAAAAUUCUGCCCGUAUUGUCUGAUUAUGUCUAGUUCUUAUCUAUUUCAUUUCUAUCUACAUGUUGUCAUUUCUUUUGCGAGCAUCAUUUUUUACAGUAGCUGGAGAUAGUACAGCGAUAGCUCCCUUGUAUCUCUCCCUUUCUCUUUUUUUUUAUCUGCGAAUGAAUAUUUCUACCUUGUACCGACAGCGGCGAAAUUAUACAAACGGGAUUCCUCCCAUGGUUCAAAUCGAGCCAUGGUAUGUCGUUACUUUUUACUAUCUUCGUAGCCAAUAAACAUAACCGUUUUCGUAACUGCCAACCCGGAAUAGCUGUCUCCGCACGGGAACAAAUCGAAAAACAUAUCUGAUAGUCGCCGCACAAGGCCGAGGAAAAUCAGCCAUUGAAACUCUCAGAGAUUCCUGGGCUCCGCCCUGAAAGUCGAGAGCGAACGAGUCCCUCUUCGGCUGCCCGGCCAACGAAGAGGAUAGUUUGCAUACGUGGUGCAGCGGAGAGGGUGGCAGCCGGACACAGCCCUCCGAUCAAUGAAGGCGAAGCGCGCGCAGCCCCUCCGAUUUUUUGAAAAUCUGCCCGCCAACCUGGUACUGCCCCUUGUUUAUCCCCUCCGCAGUGUCUACAUCUGAACUGCAUACCAAGAUGGGGAAACGUAGCAACGCCGUGAAUACACCAUUUUGCUGUCGACUUGUUCGAUUCACCUAGCAUCGCCAUUUUGCCCCGAAGGGGCCUGCUCUCAACUGCGAAAAAUUAUCAAUGGCGAUGCAUCGAGAUAUGAAAAAACGGCACGAUCUGUCUUAUCUCCUCAGACGAGCGUAAAAAAAACCGCUCCCUUUUAAAAAGUGAUUCAACCGCGGCGUUCCCGCGCGCAAAAAGAAUUGCACAGAGCCGCCCUCUCGGUUUUUACAUGCGCGAUCUGCACGCGGAAGAGGUACAAAAAACAAACAAAAAAACUGUUUUCUUCGCCGUGAAGGGGAGACUGGUGCCAUCUGCUGGCAUUUUUUGAACAAGCCAUUCUUCACCCCUCAACCCUUGCGUGCGUUCGUCGAGCAAGGGCACGUAUGAGUUCAUCAACCCCCAGUAGGAUGGCGCCACUAAGCAAAUUCUAUUUUAAAAAAUCAUUUGCGUUAUUCUUUAACUUUUUGUCACUUAAAUUAAUAGCUUGCCCUUCCAAAAUUGAUAUAUAAAUGUGAAGCGACAAAUCAGUAUAAUUUGAUGCAAUAUUAAGUCAUGAUAUUAAAUUGUAAUAUUUUUAAAUUCUUAAUUAUAUCGAAUUUUUUUAUUCUCAACGAAAUUUAUAGGAGACUCUUUUAAGAAACUUACCUUGACGUAAUUUUUAAUCAUGAUUCCUAAAUUUUUAAUUUUCUCGAAUAAAAGCAUAAAAUAAAUGAAAUAAAUACAUCAAAUAAUUGAUGUCUAUAAAUAAAAAAAUUUCAUAUAUUGAGACAAACUGUUUUGUCAAAUCAGUAACAAUUGAAGAUAUGUACAGCUAAUUUUAAAAACUAAUUACCUUGUUAAUAUUUUCUAAUAUUAAAACGAUGUUAUUGUAUUCACGGAAA